This 468-nucleotide ribosomal RNA is filed under the name uncultured bacterium. RNAcentral's name for it is "partial 16S ribosomal RNA". It matches the Rfam family "Bacterial small subunit ribosomal RNA", at positions 28 to 507 of the family's 1533-position model. The record is from RNAcentral.
GACGAACGCUGGCGGCGUGCUUAACACAUGCAAGUCGAACGGAAAGACCCUGCUUUUGUGGGGUGCUCGAGUGGCGAACGGGUGAGUAACACGUGAGUAACCUGUCCUUGACUUUGGGAUAAAUUCAGGAAACUGGGGCUAAUAUACGAUAGGAGCUCCUGCUGCAUGGUGGGGGUUGGUAAGUUUCGGCGGUUGGGGAUGGACUCGCGGCUUAUCCGCUUGUUGGUGAGGUAGUGGCUUACCAAGGCUAUGACGGGUAGCCGGCCUUAGAGGGUGACCGGCGACAUUGGGACUGAGGGACGGCCCAGACUCCUACGGGAGGCAGCAGUGGGGAAUAUUGCGCAAUGGGCGGGAGCCAGAUGCGGCAACGCCGCGUGCGGGAUGACGGCCUUCGGGUUGUAAACCGCUUUCGCCUGUGACGAAGCGUUAUUGACGGUAAUGGGUAAAGAAGCACCGGCUAACUACGUG